UAGAAAUGAACGUUCCUAAGCUUCAUGUCUGCAUCAUAACAGAAUCUCCAGGACGUUUGAAGGUGUCAUGAGGUUACCUAGUCCAACUUCAAAGGAGCCCAAAUCAUCCGUUUUGACAGAACCAGAGGACACAGCUAAAAAGCAUGUGGAUUCCUGACCCAGUAAUCUGCAAAAUAACUGAGGAAACGAUCAAUUGUGUCAAACCCUGCUGAGAGAUUGAUUAUGAUGAAGACAAGACAUAAAGAUUAUUGCUGACCCAGAGGCUUCCAUGGAGUUUUAGGGAGGAAAUCAAAACCCGAAGGAUGUGAAAAAUAAAUGACUUGUUAUAAAGUGGGGCAAUAAGGGUAAAAAUCUCAUUCAGGGAGUUUGCAAAGGCUGCAAAAUAAAUGCAUCAGCAAUCAGAGAUGAGUGAAAGUAAAGGAAACUUGGAAGAUGGGAGAUAUUGAAGCAUAGUAUGGGAAUAUAGUAUGAAAAUAUGAAGCAAUUACUCCGCUAUCUUCAAAUUUUUUUAUGAAGAUUCCACAUGAGACCAUGUGAAUUCAGCUGUAGCUGAUUGAAAAAGAAAUGAACAGGGGCGCCUGGGUGGCACAGCGGUUAAGCUUCUGCCUUUGGCUCAGGGCAUGAUCCCGGCGUUAUGGGAUCGAGCCCCACAUCAGGCUCUUCAGCUAUGAGCCUGC
Long non-coding RNA from Ailuropoda melanoleuca (giant panda), 677 nucleotides. RefSeq lists it as uncharacterized. The transcript has 3 exons. Lineage: Eukaryota; Metazoa; Chordata; Mammalia; Carnivora; Ursidae. The record is from RefSeq and is a predicted model, not a curated record.